GAUGAACGCUGGCGGCGUGCCUAAUACAUGCAAGUCGAGCGAACGGACGAGAAGCUUGCUUCUCUGAUGUUAGCGGCGGACGGGUGAGUAACACGUGGAUAACCUACCUAUAAGACUGGGAUAACUUCGGGAAACCGGAGCUAAUACCGGAUAAUAUUUUGAACCGCAUGGUUCAAAAGUGAAAGACGGUCUUGCUGUCACUUAUAGAUGGAUCCGCGCUGCAUUAGCUAGUUGGUAAGGUAACGGCUUACCAAGGCAACGAUGCAUAGCCGACCUGAGAGGGUGAUCGGCCACACUGGAACUGAGACACGGUCCAGACUCCUACGGGAGGCAGCAGUAGGGAAUCUUCCGCAAUGGGCGAAAGCCUGACGGAGCAACGCCGCGUGAGUGAUGAAGGUCUUCGGAUCGUAAAACUCUGUUAUCAGGGAAGAACAUAUGUGUAAGUAACUGUGCACAUCUUGACGGUACCUAAUCAGAAAGCCACGGCUAACUACGUGCCAGCAGCCGCGGUAAUACGUAGGUGGCAAGCGUUAUCCGGAAUUAUUGGGCGUAAAGCGCGCGUAGGCGGUUUUUUAGUCUGAUGUGAAAGCCCACGGCUCAACCGUGGAGGGUCAUUGGAAACUGGAAAACUUGAGUGCAGAAGAGGAAAGUGGAAUUCCAUGUGUAGCGGUGAAAUGCGCAGAGAUAUGGAGGAACACCAGUGGCGAAGGCGACUUUCUGGUCUGUAACUGACGCUGAUGUGCGAAAGCGUGGGGAUCAAACAGGAUUAGAUACCCUGGUAGUCCACGCCGUAAACGAUGAGUGCUAAGUGUUAGGGGGUUUCCGCCCCUUAGUGCUGCAGCUAACGCAUUAAGCACUCCGCCUGGGGAGUACGACCGCAAGGUUGAAACUCAAAGGAAUUGACGGGGACCCGCACAAGCGGUGGAGCAUGUGGUUUAAUUCGAAGCAACGCGAAGAACCUUACCAAAUCUUGACAUCCUUUGACAACUCUAGAGAUAGAGCUUUCCCCUUCGGGGGACAAAGUGACAGGUGGUGCAUGGUUGUCGUCAGCUCGUGUCGUGAGAUGUUGGGUUAAGUCCCGCAACGAGCGCAACCCUUAAGCUUAGUUGCCAUCAUUAAGUUGGGCACUCUAAGUUGACUGCCGGUGACAAACCGGAGGAAGGUGGGGAUGACGUCAAAUCAUCAUGCCCCUUAUGAUUUGGGCUACACACGUGCUACAAUGGACAAUACAAAGGGCAGCGAAACCGCGAGGUCAAGCAAAUCCCAUAAAGUUGUUCUCAGUUCGGAUUGUAGUCUGCAACUCGACUACAUGAAGCUGGAAUCGCUAGUAAUCGUAGAUCAGCAUGCUACGGUGAAUACGUUCCCGGGUCU
This 1371-nucleotide ribosomal RNA is filed under the name uncultured bacterium. RNAcentral's name for it is "bacterial SSU rRNA". It matches the Rfam family "Bacterial small subunit ribosomal RNA", at positions 28 to 1381 of the family's 1533-position model. The record is from RNAcentral.